GACGAACGCUGGCGGCGUGCUUAACACAUGCAAGUCGAACGGUGAAGCGCCUUCCUUUUUGGUGGGUGUGGAUGAGUGGCGAACGGGUGAGUAACACGUGAGUAACCUGCCCCCUUCUUCUGGAUAACCGCAUGAAAGUGUGGCUAAUACGGGAUAUUCUGGGUCUGUCGCAUGAUGGGUCUGGGAAAGAUAUUGUUUCGGUGGGGGAUGGGCUCGCGGCCUAUCAGCUUGUUGGUGGGGUGAUGGCCUACCAAGGCGGUGACGGGUAGCCGGCCUGAGAGGGUGGACGGUCACACUGGGACUGAGACACGGCCCAGACUCCUACGGGAGGCAGCAGUGGGGAAUAUUGCACAAUGGGCGCAAGCCUGAUGCAGCGACGCCGCGUGAGGGAUGGAGGCCUGCGGGUUGUCAACCUCUUUCGCCAGUGAAGCAGGCCUGCCUCGUUUGUGGGUGGGUUGACGGUAGCUGGAUAAGAAGCGCCGGCUAACUACGUG
This 494-nucleotide ribosomal RNA is filed under the name uncultured bacterium. Its description in RNAcentral is "partial 16S ribosomal RNA". It matches the Rfam family "Bacterial small subunit ribosomal RNA", at positions 28 to 507 of the family's 1533-position model. The record is from RNAcentral.